RNAcentral lists this transfer RNA (76 nucleotides) under Candidatus Lloydbacteria bacterium CG22_combo_CG10-13_8_21_14_all_47_15. RNAcentral describes it as "tRNA-Val". It matches the Rfam family "tRNA". Rfam says of the family: Transfer RNA (tRNA) molecules are approximately 80 nucleotides in length. The record is from RNAcentral. Lineage: Bacteria; Candidatus Lloydiibacteriota.
GGGCGCUUAGCUCAGUUGGUAGAGCAACUCGUUUACACCGAGAAGGUCGGGGGUUCAAAUCCCUCAGCGCCCACCA